RNAcentral lists this ribosomal RNA (505 nucleotides) under Pyrenophora tritici-repentis. Its description in RNAcentral is "eukaryotic LSU rRNA". The stretch from base 184 to 337 matches the Rfam family "5.8S ribosomal RNA". Lineage: Eukaryota; Fungi; Ascomycota; Dothideomycetes; Pleosporales; Pleosporaceae. The record is from RNAcentral.
CAUUACACAAAUAUGAAGCCGGACUGGGAUAGGGCCUCGCUGCCUUGCCCGUCUGGCGCCAUAUUCACCCAUGUCUUUUUGCGUACUACUUGUUUCCUUGGCGGGUCCGCCCGCCAAUUGGACCUUAUUCAAACCUUUUUUUCAGUUGCAAUCAGCGUCAGCAAAACAAAUGUAAUCAAUUACAACUUUCAACAACGGAUCUCUUGGUUCUGGCAUCGAUGAAGAACGCAGCGAAAUGCGAUAAGUAGUGUGAAUUGCAGAAUUCAGUGAAUCAUCGAAUCUUUGAACGCACAUUGCGCCCUUUGGUAUUCCAAAGGGCAUGCCUGUUCGAGCGUCAUUUGUACCCUCAAGCUUUGCUUGGUGUUGGGCGUCUUGUCUCUCUCCCGAGACUCGCCUUAAAAUCAUUGGCAGCCGGCCUACUGGUUUCGGAGCGCAGCACAUUAUUUGCGCUCUUGUCCAGCCGCGGUCGCGCGUCCAUGAAGCUUCUUUCAACCUUUUGACCUCG